UAUCAUCAUCCACCUCCAUCUUCCCAAGAUUAUCAUCAUCCACCACCAUCCCAGGAUUAUCACCGUCCACCAUCUUCCCAAGAUUACCAUCCUCCACCACCUUCCCAAGAUUAUCAUUCUCCACCACCUUCCCAGGAGUACCAUCCUCCACCACCUUCCCAAGAUUAUCAACCUCCUCCACCUUCCCAAGAUUUCCAUCAUCCUCCACCUGCUAGAUCAGACAGUUCUUAUUCUGAGCCCUACAACCACCAGCAAUACUCACCAGAUCAGUCACAGAACUUAGGUCCUAAUUACCCUUCUCAUGAAACUCCCUCUUCUUACUCUCUUCCCCAUUUUCAAUCUUAUCCAAGUUU
This 353-nucleotide long non-coding RNA is filed under the name Lathyrus oleraceus (garden pea). RNAcentral's name for it is "Pisum sativum (pea) long non-coding RNA (PSAT_LNC004256)". Lineage: Eukaryota; Viridiplantae; Streptophyta; Magnoliopsida; Fabales; Fabaceae. The record is from RNAcentral.